Molecule: ribosomal RNA, 2992 nt
Filed under: uncultured bacterium AD261-B2
Lineage: Bacteria
Description: bacterial LSU rRNA
Rfam family: Bacterial large subunit ribosomal RNA
Source: RNAcentral
AGGGCGUACGGGGGAUGCCUAGGUACAUGGAGUCGAGGAAGGACGUGGUAAGCUGCGAUAAGCCUCGGGUAAGUGCAAACAACUUUAGAUCCGAGGAUUUCCGAAUGGGGCUACCCGGCCCGCGGUUAUAUUGGUGUCACUGCACAACCUGAAUACAUUGGGUGGACAGAUCUUACUGAGUGGACUGACACAUCUAAGUAACUCCAGGAAAAGAAAUCAAAAGAGAUUCCCUCAGUAGCGGCGAGCGAACGGGGAAGAGCCUAAACCACUAACGUGCCAAGCCUGUAAGUGUUGCGCUAGUGGUGUAGUGGGAUCAUUUUAGAACUGGUUACAGACGGUUCGACAAGUUAUAAAAUCGAUGAUUAAUCGAAUGGGAUGGAAAGCCCAGCCAUAGAAGGUGAUAGCCCUGUAUAUGAAAAUCAAAGAUCUUGUUGGAAAUGACACCCGAGUAACGCGGGACACGAGAAAUCUUGCGUGAAUCUGCCAGGACCAUCUGGUAAGGCUAAAUACUCCCAUGUAACCGAUAGCGAACUAGUACCGUGAGGGAAAGGUGAAAAGUACUCCUAACGGAGAGUGAAAUAGAACCUGAAACCGUAUGCCUACAAGCGGUCGGAGCUCCGCCUUGUGCGGGGUGACGGCGUGCCUUUUGCAUAAUGAGCCAGCGAGUUGCUCGUAUGUUGCAAGGUUAAGGCCAAAAAGCCGGAGCCGUAGCGAAAGCGAGUCUGAAUAGGGCGUUUAGUAACAUGCGGCAGACCCGAAACCGAGUGAUCUAGCCAUGGCCAGGUUGAAGGUGCGGUAACACGCACUGGAGGACCGAACCCACCAGCGUUGAAAAGCUGGGGGAUGAGCUGUGGUUAGGGGUGAAAGGCCAAUCAAACUCGGAGAUAUCUGGUUCUCACCGAAAUGCCUUUAGGGGCAGCGUCACAUUAUAGUGUAUCGGGGGUAGAGCACUGAAUGGGCUAGGGGGCCUACAAGCUUACCGACCCCAAUCAAACUCCGAAUACCGAAUACAUGUUAUGUGGCAGUGAGGCUGCGGGGGAUAAGCUCCGUAGCCAAGAGGGAAACAACCCAGAUCAUCAGCUAAGGUCCCUAAGUCGAUGCUAAGUGACAAAGGAUGUUAAAUCGCCCAGACAGCUAGGAGGUUGGCUUAGAAGCAGCCAUCCUUUAAAGAAAGCGUAAUAGCUCACUAGUCAAGGGGUUUUGCGCCUAUAAUACCCGGGACUAAGCAUCGCACCGAAGCUAUGGAUUUCAAUAGAUUGCUAUUGGAAUGGUAGGUGAGCGUUCUAUUAACCUGUGAAGGUUGACCCGUGAGGGCAGCUGGAGGAGAUGGAAAUGAGUAUGCUGGCAUGAGUAGCGAUAAACACGGUGAAAUACCGUGUCGCCGAAAGUCCAAGGUUUCCUGAGUAAAGUAACUCUGCUCAGGGUUAGUCGGACCCUAAGCCGAGGCCGAAAGGCGUAGGCGAUGGAAAACGGGUUUAAUAUUCCCGUACCAGUCCGUAAUCGUUAUAACUAUGGGGGGACGCAGAAGUGAAAGGUCAGCCCGGUUUUGAUUGUCCGGGUUUAAGUGUGUAGGGGGGUCCGAUUGGUAAAUCCGUCGGAUUAUUAACUCUGAGACACGAAUAGGAGGGCCUAGCCCGUAAACUGACCAUAAUCCUGCUGCCAAGAAAAGCCUCUAUGUGAGAUUAUGAACUGACCGUACCCUAAACGGACACACGUGGACGAGGAGAGUAUCCUAAGGCGCUUGAGAGAAUCCAGGUUAAGGAACUCGGCAAAUUAACCCCGUAACUUCGGGAGAAGGGGUGCCUUGAUUAGGUAAACACCUUCGCGGUGGAAACUGAAAGAGGCCGCAGUGACCAGGCCCAAACGACUGUUUACUAAAAACACAGGUCUCUGCUAAAUCGUAAGAUGAAAUAUAGGGACUGACACCUGCCCGGUGCCGGAAGGUUAAAUGGAAGGGUUAGCUUCGGCAAAGCUCUGAAAUGAAGCCCCGGUAAACGGCGGCCGUAACUAUAACGGUCCUAAGGUAGCGAAAUUCCUUGUCGGGUAAGUUCCGACCUGCACGAAUGGUGCAACGAUUUGGGCACUGUCUCAACCUGGAGCUCAGCGAAAUUGAAGUGUCGGUGAAGAUACCGGCUACCCGCGGCAGGACGAAAAGACCCCGUGAACCUUUACUACAACUUAGCAUUGGAUUUUGGUUAUGCAUGUGCAGGAUAGGUGGGAGGCUUUGAAGCUUGGACGCUAGUUCGAGUGGAGCCAACCUUGAAAUACCACCCUUGUAUUGCGGAAGUUCUAAUCCCGACCCGUGAAUCCGGGCGAGAGACAGUACUAGGUGGGUAGUUUGACUGGGGCGGUCUCCUCCUAAAAGGUAACGGAGGAACCCAAAGGUUCCCUCAGCACGGUCGGUAAUCGUGCGAAGAGCGCAAAGGCAUAAGGGAGCUUGACUGCGAGGCUGACGGGCCGAGCAGGUACGAAAGUAGGGCUUAGUGAUCUGGUGGUUCCGUAUGGAAGGGCCAUCACUCAAUGGAUAAAAGGUACUCCGGGGAUAACAGGCUUAUCUCCCCCAAGAGUUCACAUCGACGGGGAGGUUUGGCACCUCGAUGUCGGCUCAUCACAUCCUGGGGCUGGAGAAGGUCCCAAGGGUUGGGCUGUUCGCCCAUUAAAGUGGUACGUGAGCUGGGUUUAGAACGUCGUGAGACAGUUCGGUCUCUAUCCGCCGUGGGCACAGGAGAUUUGAGGGAAUCUGCUUCUAGUACGAGAGGACCGAAGUGGACGAACCUCUAGUGUACCAGUUGUCAUAUCAAUGGCACCGCUGGGUAGCUAUGUUCGGAAAGGAUAAGCGCUGAAAGCAUAUAAGCGCGAAACCUGACCCAAGAUAAGAUCUCCCUACCGUAAGGUAAUAAGGCUCGUUGUAGACUACAACGUUGAUAGGCUGCAGGUGUAAGUGUGGUAACACAUUCAGCCGAGCAGUACUAAUAUGCCGAAUGACUUUAUC